AUUGAACGCUGGCGGCAUGCUUUACACAUGCAAGUCGAACGGUAACAGGCCGCAGGGUGCUGACGAGUGGCGAACGGGUGAGUAAUGCAUCGGAACGUGCCCAGUCGUGGGGGAUAACGCAGCGAAAGCUGUGCUAAUACCGCAUACGAUCUAUGGAUGAAAGCGGGGGACCGUAAGGCCUCGCGCGAUUGGAGCGGCCGAUGUCAGAUUAGGUAGUUGGUGGGGUAAAGGCUCACCAAGCCAACGAUCUGUAGCUGGUCUGAGAGGACGACCGACCACACUGGGAGUGAGACACAGUCCAGACUCCUACGGGAUGCAGCAGUGGGGAAUUUUAGACAAUGGGCGCAAGCCUGUUCCAUCAAUGCCGCGUGCAGGAAGGAGGCCGUCGGGUUGUAAACUGCUUUUGUACGGAACGAAAAGGUUUGGGUUAAUACCCUGGGCCGAUGACGGUACCGUAAGAAUAAGCACCGGCUAACUACGUGCCAGCAGCCGCGGUAA
Molecule: ribosomal RNA, 498 nt
Filed under: uncultured bacterium
Lineage: Bacteria
Description: partial 16S ribosomal RNA
Rfam family: Bacterial small subunit ribosomal RNA
Source: RNAcentral